Molecule: long non-coding RNA, 237 nt
Organism: Mastomys coucha (southern multimammate mouse)
Lineage: Eukaryota; Metazoa; Chordata; Mammalia; Rodentia; Muridae
Exons: 2
Source: RefSeq, a predicted model, not a curated record
UUCCCUUCUGGUGGAUGGAGUCAUCUUGCCUUGGAAUGGAACUCUUAUGAAGGACUAUUUCAAAAUUAUUUGGACUAGCCAGCUGAUUACCAGGAAUUUCCACACAAGGAUGCUUUCUCUCCACACUUCAAGUGGCAGGCCACCAUGAGGCUUGCAGCUUCCUCUACAGGCAUAUGGGCAUAUGUUGCCUCACCCACCACAAGGCCCAAACAACAGGGCUUAUAAAUUUCAAGCUUU